Molecule: ribosomal RNA, 253 nt
Filed under: uncultured bacterium
Lineage: Bacteria
Description: partial 16S ribosomal RNA
Rfam family: Bacterial small subunit ribosomal RNA
Source: RNAcentral
UACGAAGGGGGCUAGCGUUGUUCGGAAUUACUGGGCGUAAAGGGCGCGUAGGCGGCUGUGCAAGUCAGAUGUGAAAGCCCUGGGCUCAACCCAGGAUGUGCAUUUGAUACUGCACGGCUAGAGUGUCGGAGAGGAUGGUGGAAUUCCCAGUGUAGAGGUGAAAUUCGUAGAUAUUGGGAAGAACACCGGUGGCGAAGGCGGCGAGCUGGUCUGGUACUGACGCUGAGGCGCGACAGCGUGGGGAGCAAACAGG